RNAcentral lists this ribosomal RNA (497 nucleotides) under uncultured bacterium. Its description in RNAcentral is "partial 16S ribosomal RNA". It matches the Rfam family "Bacterial small subunit ribosomal RNA", at positions 28 to 507 of the family's 1533-position model. The record is from RNAcentral.
GACGAACGCUGGCGGCGUGCCUAACACAUGCAAGUCGAACGAAAAGACGAGGAGGUUUCUGCUUUGACGGUUGCAGGGGAGGGGAGAACAACACGAGGAUAACCCACCUAUUAGAAUGGGAAAUCUUCGGGAAAACGGAUCCUACACCAGAUAAUAUUUUGAACCGCAAGGGGGCAUAAUGAAAGACGGUUUUUGUGUGAUUUCUAGAUGGUUCCGCGCCGCAUUAGCUAGUUGGGAAGGUAACGGCUUACCAAGGCAACGAUGCGUAGCCGACCUGAGAGGGUGAUCGGCCACACUGGAACUGAGACACGGUCAAGACUCCUACGGGAGGCAGCAGUAGGGAAUCUUCCGCAAUGGGCGAAAGCCUGACGGAGCAACGCCGCGUGAGUGAUGAAGGUCUUCGGAUCGUAAAACUCUGUUAUUAGGGAAGAACAAAUGUGUAAGUAACUAUGCACGUCUUGACGGUACCUAAUCAGAAAGCCACGGCUAACUACGUG